RNAcentral lists this ribosomal RNA (619 nucleotides) under Amanita ochracea. RNAcentral's name for it is "LSU rRNA". It matches the Rfam family "Eukaryotic large subunit ribosomal RNA", at positions 48 to 653 of the family's 3401-position model. The record is from RNAcentral. Lineage: Eukaryota; Fungi; Basidiomycota; Agaricomycetes; Agaricales; Amanitaceae.
AAGCGGAGGAAAAGAAACUAACAAGGAUUCCCCUAGUAACUGCGAGUGAAGCGGGAAAAGCUCAAAUUUAAAAUCUGGCAGUGGUUCACUGCCCGAGUUGUAAUCUAGAGAAGUGUUGCUCACACUGGACCAUGUAUAAGUCUUCUGGAAUGAAGCGUCAUAGAGGGUGAGAAUCCCGUCUUUGACAUGGACUCCCAGUGUAUUUGUAGCAUGCUCUCAAAGAGUCGAGUUGUUUGGGAAUGCAGCUCUAAAUGGGUGGUAACCUCCAUCUAAAGCUAAAUAUUGGCGAGAGACCGAUAGUGAACAAGUACCGUGAGGGAAAGAUGAAAAGAACUUUGGAAAGAGAGUUAAAAAGUACGUGAAAUUGUUGAAAGGGAAACGCUUGAAGUCAGUCACAUUGGCCAGGGAUCAACUUGCUUAAGUGUACUUCCUGGCUGAUGGGCCAACAUCAGCUUUGACUGUCAGAGAAGGGUAGGGGGAAUGUGGCACCCUUCUUGGGUGUGUUAUAGCCCUCUGUCAUAUAUGGCCGUUGGGGCUGAGGAAUGCAGCGCGCCACAAGGCCGGGCUUCGACCACGUUCGCGCUUAGGAUGUUGGCAUAAUGGCUUUAAUCGACCCGUC